This 373-nucleotide ribosomal RNA is filed under the name uncultured fungus. Its description in RNAcentral is "eukaryotic LSU rRNA". It matches the Rfam family "Eukaryotic large subunit ribosomal RNA", at positions 40 to 398 of the family's 3401-position model. The record is from RNAcentral. Lineage: Eukaryota; Fungi.
AUAUCAAUAAGCGGAGGAAAGAGAAACCAACAGGGAUUGCCUUCAGUAACGGCGAGUGAAGCGGCAACAGCUCAAAUUUGAAAUCUGGCCUCUUUCAGGGUCCGAGUUGUAAUUUGUAGAAGAUGCUUCGGGUAUGGCACCCGGUCUAAGUUCCUUGGAACAGGACGUCACUAGAGGGUGAGAAUCCCGUACGUGCACGGUGGCUGCACCUUCGCUCAUGUGAAGCUCUUUCGACGAGUCGAGUUGUUUGGGAAUGCAGCUCAAAAUGGGUGGUAAAUUUCAUCUAAAGCUAAAUAUUGGCCAGGAGACCGAUAGCGCACAAGUAGAGUGAUCGAAAGAUGAAAAGCACUUUGGAAAGAGAGUUAAACAGUAC